Molecule: ribosomal RNA, 252 nt
Filed under: uncultured bacterium
Lineage: Bacteria
Description: partial 16S ribosomal RNA
Rfam family: Bacterial small subunit ribosomal RNA
Source: RNAcentral
UACGUAGGUCCCGAGCGUUGUCCGGAUUUAUUGGGCGUAAAGCGAGCGCAGGUGGUUUAUUAAGUCUGGUGUAAAAGGCAGUGGCUCAACCAAUGUAUGCAUUGGAAACUGGUAGACUUGAGUGCAGGAGAGGAGAGUGGAAUUCCAUGUGUAGCGGUGAAAUGCGUAGAUAUAUGGAGGAACACCGGUGGCGGAAGCGGCUCUCUGGCCUGUAACUGACACUGAGGCUCGAAAGCGUGGGGAGCAAACAGG